UCCAUAGACGAUUUACAGUUGUUUUUCUGUUAACACAACAGACGAUGAAUAUUCCGAAUGUUGAAUUUCUCAUCAGUACAUUAAUUUUUCAUCAAUGAUCAACCAUCUCAAUAAAUUGGAUGAGCACGCGAAGAGGAAGGCAACAGUAUAUAAUGGUAUAUUCGAAAACACAGAACGGUUCAGUGGGUAUACUACCAAGACUGCAGAGGUUUGAAUAGUAAAUAUACGAGUUUUUCAGAAAUUCCUUAGUUUGUGCUUAAGAAGUUAUAGCUACAUAUAUCUGAAACAUGGUUACGAGAGGGAGUUGAUGACGGUGAAAUCGUAGAUACAGAUAUUUUUUAUCUGUUACGAGCUGACAGAGAUUUCGAAUAUACAAACAAGUCUACGGGAGGAGGUGUUUUACUGGCUAUCAGAAAGAAGUACAAAAUUUUACAAGUAGUUAGGAAAGCGACACUUUUUGAGGCACUGGUUGUGAAGGUGGAAGUUA
Molecule: long non-coding RNA, 487 nt
Organism: Leptinotarsa decemlineata (Colorado potato beetle)
Lineage: Eukaryota; Metazoa; Arthropoda; Insecta; Coleoptera; Chrysomelidae
Source: RefSeq, a predicted model, not a curated record